RNAcentral lists this ribosomal RNA (253 nucleotides) under uncultured bacterium. Its description in RNAcentral is "partial 16S ribosomal RNA". It matches the Rfam family "Bacterial small subunit ribosomal RNA", at positions 524 to 776 of the family's 1533-position model. The record is from RNAcentral.
UACAGAGGUGGCAAGCGUUGUUCGGAAUUACUGGGCGUAAAGGGCGCGCAGGCGGCGGUGCUGGCCCGGCGUGAAAGCCCCCGGCUCAACCGGGGAGGGUCGUCGGGGACCGCACCGCUUGAGGGCGGUAGGGGCUGGUGGAAUGCCUGGUGUAGUGGUGAAAUGCGUAGAGAUCAGGCAGAACACCCGUGGCGAAGGCGGCCAGCUGGGCCGUCCCUGACGCUGAGGCGCGAAGGCGUGGGGAGCGAACGGG